AUUAUUGUCACUCGAGAAUGUUAUUUUAUUAUAUCGUUUUAAAUUCACAUUUUCUCUAGAUUAUUUAUUGUAUAAAUAAAAAUCAUGUCGAGAGAAAAUUCUUCAUUUUUAUCAGAUUGUGAAGAAAAUUAUAUAGAAUGGAUCGACUAUUUAUUGAAAUUAAAAACAAAAGAGUCAAAACCAAAAUCCAUACGUUCGACACGUUCGAGUCUAGUGUGUUGUGAAACAAUUCAAUCAAUUCAACUUGACGAAGCAAUUUCUACAUUUUUAAAUUGUACCAAGAGCAAUAUGAAUGUUUCUAUAAAUGAUAUGGAUGCUUUUAUAAUUGAAACCAUGUAUAUUAAUUUACAAGAUUUAAAACGAAUAAAUAUCACAUUAAAUGAAUUAUUCGACGGAAUUAUUAAUCGAGAAAUUAAUUUGCAAAUUAUUAAAUAUAAAUGCUCGUCACUUUACAAUAAAAUGGACAUUUUUCAAAUCUACAAUAUCGAUGAAAAUUUAAUAAAUAUUAACGAAAAUCACAAUUUUUUAAAACAACAAAAACAAUUUGGCAAAUAUUUGCAAAUACUAUUACAACAAACCACAUCAUCAUCAUCAUUGUUAAAUAAAUACAAUGAGCAAUUGAAAGAAAAGAAAUUAAAUAAUAUUUGGCCAAUUUUAAAAUCAUGUAAUGAUAUCAAUCACGUUAUUGCGUGUCGUCAGGAAUUUUUUGAAAUUUAUGAAAAUUUAUUACUUGAUAUUUUUAAUCGAAAUGAUGCUGAAUUUCAAACAAUUAUGCCUAUUUAUCUACAUAAGAAUUCCUAUGAUGAAAUAGGAUUAUUGACAAAAAUAACUGGUGAUUCUGGUUCAAUGAUACAUCCAAAAUAUCUUUCCUCACAAACUUUAGUAAUGGCCGGUAUCAAUUAUUCUCAAUUUAUUAUUGGUAAUGAAGAAAAAAUAGAUCCCAUUCAAAUUGUAACAAAUUUUAAUGCACUUAUUAAUAUUCUUUAUGGUGGUGCACCACGUCUUUGGCUAAUUAUUAAACGUGCACACGUUCAACGAUUAACAAAUCUUUUUGGUGAAAUAUUCAAAAAUAAUCGCAAUUUUCACGAUGAUACAAUUUCAAUAAAUUGUUCAAUGCCAUUGAGACAUGGUCGUUUUAUUAUUUUACCAUCGUGGUUAAAAGACAAUGGUAUUAAGCAUGAUAUUUUUAUUCAACAACCAGGUACAUGUGUUUUAUUACGUGAAAAUGUUUAUUUUCAAACAAUAGAUCUGGGCGUUAAUUUAUCAGAGUCAAUUAAUUAUUCUGGUAUAUUUGAUCAAAUACUUGAAUCAUUUAAAAUUAAUUGUUGCUCUACAAAUGAUAGUGUAAUUGCUCCAGUGGAUGUUGAAAAAAUGUUUUCAAAUUUUCGUAUUGUAAAAUCGUGUACACGUCAAUUAAAAUGCUCCAUAUGUUCUAGUGGGAAAAAUUUUAAUCCAGCUGAAUUGCGAUAUCAUUUUGUUGCUCAUCAUUUGUCACAAGAAAAAAUUUAUCAAUGUAAUGAUAAAUGUAAAUUUGAAACAACUAGUUUAAUUGAAUUUCGUAAACAUUUACGAGCAAAACAUAGAGAAAAACAAUUAUGCUAUUUGUGUCGUUAUCGAAAUAGUGGUAUGUAUCUGAAAAUUGAAAGUCUACGACGUCAUCUCAUUGUUUAUCAUCAAUUGCAUGUACCGUUGAAAAUUUUUAACGACGAAAUUUGGCAAAGAGAAUUUAAAGAAACAUUUUACAAUAAGGAUAUUGUUCCAGAAAAUUGGAAACAAUAUAUGGGCAAGUUUUUUUUCUUUGUUAAAAAUUCUUUUUCUCUUUUAUACUGAUGAAAAAUUUUCACAGGUGAAAUGAUGCAACGUGUCGUUGAUGAAAUACAACAACGUGAAGAAAUUUUACGUCGAAAAAAUGAAGUGACAAAUACAAUGUACUCUUGUCAUUUUUGUGAUUACAAUGAUACAUUUAAAUCUGUUCAUUUACUUGUUCAUCUUGAACGAAAACAUGGUUUGACAAUAAAUCCAAAGAUUUUCUACACUCAACAAUGGUUUGACAUGUAUCAUAAACGUUUCAACAAUCAUCAAGCUGCAAAUAUGUCCUCUGCUGAAAUUGAACGUGAAGUUUGGAUUAUUACACAAUCGAUUGCAAAUAUAAAUAAUAAUGAAGACAACAAUUUUUACAAUAAAGGAAGUGGUGCGUUAAAAAUAAAAAAAUUAAUGCAAAAAACAAUGGAGAGUGAAAUUUUAAAUGAAGCAUCAAAAAAAUCACAAUUUUUUAAUGAAGAAGUAAAUUAUGAAAUUGAAGAAGAAAAUUAUCAAACAAAACAACCAAUAAGAAAUCGAAAUGAUGUUCGAUGUUCUGGAAUAAAACAGAAGAAGGUUUAUCAAAUUUUAGAUAUUUAUAAAACAUUGUGUCCAACUUGUGAGAAGAAGAUAAAAAAUGCAACGUAUAAAAAUCAUUUUAAAAUCUGUAGAGGCGUGGCUUGUGAAAAAUGCUCUACUAAAUUUAUCAGUAAUCAUGUAAUGAAACGUCAUUAUAAAUCGUGUAAAAAAAAUAAAAAUUAGCCUUUACUGGAAUUUAG
Molecule: RNA transcript, 2579 nt
Organism: Leptopilina boulardi
Lineage: Eukaryota; Metazoa; Arthropoda; Insecta; Hymenoptera; Figitidae
Exons: 2
Source: RefSeq, a predicted model, not a curated record